GAAAUGNUUAGAUAUCACGAAGAACUCCGAUUGCGAAGGCAGCUUGCUGGACUGUAACUGACGCUGAGGCACGAAAGCGUGGGGAUCAAACAGGAUUAGAUACCCUGGUANNCCACGCCGUAAACGAUGAAUGCUAGCUGUUAGCGAUAUACUGUUAGCGGCACAGAGAAAUCGUUAAGCAUUCCACCUGGGGAGUACGCCGGCAACGGUGAAACUCAAAGGAAUUGACGGGGGCCCGCACAAGCGGAGGAACAUGUGGUUUAAUUCGAUGAUACGCGAGGAACCUUACCUGGGCUUAAAUUGCAGUGGAAUAACGUGGAAACAUGUUAGCCUUCGGGCCGCUGUGAAGGUGCUGCAUGGUUGUCGUCAGCUCGUGCCGUGAGGUGUCGGCUUAAGUGCCAUAACGAGCGCAACCCUCAUCGAUAGUUACUAACAGGUUAAGCUGAGGACUCUAUCGAGACUGCCGACGUAAGUCGUGAGGAAGGUGGGGAUGACGUCAAAUCAGCACGGCCCUUACGUCCAGGGCUACACACGUGUUACAAUGGGGGGUACAAAGGGCAGCUACCUGGCGACAGGAUGCUAAUCUCAAAAACCUCUCUCAGUUCGGAUUGGAGUCUGCAACUCGACUCCAUGAAGCUGGAUUCGCUAGUAAUCGCGCAUCAGCCAUGGCGCGGUGAAUACGUUCCCGGGCCUUGUACACACCGCCCGUCAAGCCAUGGAAGCUGGGGGUACCUGAAGUAUGCAACCGCAAGGAGCGUCCUAGGGUAAAACCGGUAACUGGGGCU
This 785-nucleotide ribosomal RNA is filed under the name uncultured prokaryote. RNAcentral describes it as "bacterial SSU rRNA". It matches the Rfam family "Bacterial small subunit ribosomal RNA", at positions 683 to 1482 of the family's 1533-position model. The record is from RNAcentral.